Molecule: ribosomal RNA, 657 nt
Filed under: uncultured fungus
Lineage: Eukaryota; Fungi
Description: eukaryotic LSU rRNA
Rfam family: Eukaryotic large subunit ribosomal RNA
Source: RNAcentral
CCCGCUGAACUUAAGCAUAUCAAUAAGCGGAGGAAAAGAAACUAACAAGGAUUCCCCUAGUAACUGCGAGUGAAGCGGGAAAAGCUCAAAUUUAAAAUCUGGUGGUCUUUGGCCACCCGAGUUGUAGUCUGGAGAAGCGUUUUCCGCGCUGGACCGUGCACAAGUCUCCUGGAACGGAGCGUCAUAGAGGGUGAGAAUCCCGUCUUUGGCACGGAUGACCAGUGCUUUGUGAUGCGCUCUCGAAGAGUCGAGUUGUUUGGGAAUGCAGCUCAAAAUGGGUGGUGAAUUCCAUCUAAAGCUAAAUAUUGGCGAGAGACCGAUAGCGAACAAGUACCGUGAGGGAAAGAUGAAAAGCACUUUGGAAAGAGAGUUAAACAGUACGUGAAAUUGUUGAAAGGGAAACGCUUGAAGUCAGUCGCGUUCUCUGAGACUCAGCCUUGCUUUUGCUUGGUGUACUUCUCAGUGGAACGGGCCAGCAUCACUUUUGACCGUUGGAUAAAGGCGAGAGAAAGGUGGCACCCUCGGGUGUGUUAUAGUCUCUUGUCGCAUACAACGGUUGGGAGUGAGGAACUCAGCACGCCGCAAGGUCGGGGUUCGCCCACGUUCGUGCUUAGGAUGCUGGCGUAAUGGCUUUAAACGACCCGUCUUGAAACACGG